GCCCUGGUAGAUCAAGGUAGAUCGUCCCUUACCUGUGAUUUCGCCAUUCUUUCCUGUAUGCGGGGAAGACGGAGGUUCGAAUCCUCCCCCGGGCA
Molecule: non-coding RNA, 95 nt
Organism: Mycena epipterygia
Lineage: Eukaryota; Fungi; Basidiomycota; Agaricomycetes; Agaricales; Mycenaceae
Source: the annotation of a GenBank genome assembly